Molecule: long non-coding RNA, 1056 nt
Organism: Hypomesus transpacificus
Lineage: Eukaryota; Metazoa; Chordata; Actinopteri; Osmeriformes; Osmeridae
Exons: 3
Source: RefSeq, a predicted model, not a curated record
CCCUCCAUCCCUCCACCUCUUUAUCCCACUAACUGAACGCUCAGGUGCAUCUCUAUAGCCAGACGGAAGGGUAGAGAGAGAACAACAGGAAACACCAGAGCCAGGACAUGACCACAAGCCGAGGGAGGGGAAAGAGAAAGAAAAGAGACAGAGCGAGGUGGAGAGUAUCAAUGUUGAAUAUGUGGUCGCAUGCAAUAGAUUUUGUGUUUGCUCUUACCUGGUUACCCACAGAGCAGCUGUCACCUAAUACUGCAAAGAGUCUGCCUGGGAGGAACCACUGCCCUCAAAACCCCUGGUCUCCAUCCCUCCAUCCCCCACCCAUCGCUAAGUAUCCCUCCCAGGGGCCUCACUAAGUAUCUCCACCAGGUAACUCCACCAGGGGCCUCACCAGGGGCCUCACUAAGUAUCUCCACCAGGGGUCUCACUAAGUAUCUCCACCAGGUAACUCCACCAGGGGCCUCACUAAGUAUCUCCACCAGGUAACUCCACCAGGGGCCUCACCAGGUAACUCCACCAGGGGCCUCACUAAGUAUCUCCACCAGGGGCCUCACUAAGUAUCUCCACCAGGUAACUCCACCAGGGGCCUCACCAGGGGCCUCACCAGGGGCCUCACUAAGUAUCUCCACCAGGUAACUCCACCAGGGGCCUCACCAGGUAACUCCACCAGGGGCCUCACUAAGUAUCUCCACCAGGGGCCUCACUAAGUAUCUCCACCAGGUAACUCCACCAGGGGCCUCACCAGGGGCCUCACUAAGUAUCUCCACCAGGGGCCUCACUAAGUAUCUCCACCAGGGGCCUCACUAAGUAUCUCCACCAGGUAACUCCACCAGGGGCCUCACCAGGGGCCUCACUAAGUAUCUCCACCAGGUAACUCCACCAGGGGCCUCACCAGGUAACUCCACCAGGGGCCUCACUAAGUAUCUCCACCAGGGGCCUCACUAAGUAUCUCCACCAGGUAACUCCACCAGGGGCCUCACCAGGGGCCUCACUAAGUAUCUCCACCAGGGGCCUCACUAAGUAUCUCCACCAGGUAACUCCACCAGGGGCCUCACCAGG